GCCGGGCGUGGUGGCGCACGCCUGUAAUCCCAGCUACUCGGGUGGCUGAGGCAGGAGAAUGGCUUGAACCCAGGAGGCGGAGGUUGCAGUGAGCCGAGAUUGCGCCACUGCACUACAGCCUGGGUGACAGAGCAAGACUCCGUCUCAA
This 148-nucleotide non-coding RNA is filed under the name Pan troglodytes (chimpanzee). Lineage: Eukaryota; Metazoa; Chordata; Mammalia; Primates; Hominidae. The record is from Rfam by way of RNAcentral.